RNAcentral lists this ribosomal RNA (496 nucleotides) under uncultured bacterium. RNAcentral describes it as "partial 16S ribosomal RNA". It matches the Rfam family "Bacterial small subunit ribosomal RNA", at positions 28 to 506 of the family's 1533-position model. The record is from RNAcentral.
GAUGAACGCUGGCGGCGUGCCUAAUACAUGCAAGUCGAGCGAACGGACGAGAAGCUUGCUUCUCUGAUGUUAGCGGCGGACGGGUGAGUAACACGUGGAUAACCUACCUAUAAGACUGGGAUAACUUCGGGAAACCGGAGCUAAUACCGGAUGAUAUUUUGAACCGCAUGGUUCAAAAGUGAAAGACGGUCUUGCUGUCACUUAUAGAUGGAUCCGCGCUGCAUUAGCUAGUUGGUAAGGUAACGGCUUACCAAGGCAACGAUGCAUAGCCGACCUGAGAGGGUGAUCGGCAACACUGGAACUGAGACACGGUCCAGACUCCUACGGGAGGCAGCAGUAGGGAAUCUUCCGCAAUGGGCGAAAGCCUGACGGAGCAACGCCGCGUGAGUGAUGAAGGUCUUCGGAUCGUAAAACUCUGUUAUUAGGGAAGAACAUAUGUGUAAGUAACUGUGCACAUCUUGACGGUACCGAAUCAGAAAGCCACGGCUAACUACGU